This 5908-nucleotide long non-coding RNA is filed under the name Brassica napus (rape). RNAcentral describes it as "long non-coding RNA (BNAP_LNC000587)". The record is from RNAcentral. Lineage: Eukaryota; Viridiplantae; Streptophyta; Magnoliopsida; Brassicales; Brassicaceae.
AGCAUUUCAUUUACAUCAGUGACUUGUAAUUUUUCUCUACACUAUGCCUUCUCUAACUCGACUUUCACCAAUCUCUUUAAUCAAUUUUCAUCGUUAGUCAACUUAUUCAUCAUCAUCAUCGAGGUAACGUCCGUGUUCUACUGACCGGUUUUUCAGUCUCUGGAAUAUCUCAUCUAAUGACUGCGGCAUUGAUGGAUUCAUCACUCUUGUGCUGGUUACUGUUGUUGUUGAUUCUGGACCUUGCCUUAGUGGAAGAAACUUCUUGGUGGCUACAUUCUCUUUAAAACUCUGGAUUCCUAGUUUCAUGUUUCUCCAUGUUGAAGCCAAACGAGUAGAUGACUCUCCUGAUCCUCCUCCUCCUUCGCCAUUACUUCGUCCCGAACUGUCUGUUUCGAGUAAAGACACUUUAGCUGAAGCCAUGUUCUCUGACUUUGAGACAGGGGAUGGCGAGUAUUUGUUCUGUUGUUCUCUGAUAGCUGCAUAUUUGUUAGUGAUUGCUUCUCUAGCUGAUCCGUAUCUACGGGAAAUAUCAUCAUUUGAUGAACUUCCUUUCAUUGUGUCAUAGCUGGACGACAUCUUCAUUUCAACUGAUGAAUGUUCCUGCUACAAAGAUAACAAAAUAUAGUCAGGCUUUUGGAACAAGGUUAAAAUUGGUUAGAAGUUGACAUAAACUUACAGAGAAGUUGCUUCCUUGUUCAACGUCAUCAACAUCGUUGAAGUUCCUUGCUAACGGAAGAACAAGCUCGCCAACCUUUUGUCCUUCUUCAAGCCAUGAUCGUUCUUAACGAAUAUAUAAGAAGAGGAAUUAUAUUAAAGUACGAGUUAUCGAUCAAAGCUCAACAUAGAAAAAGAUGACUAUGGUUUUCUCUUUUACCUUUCUUCAAAAUCAUUAAUCCCGAAGGAUCAAAACCGUCCAUAUCGUCGGUCUCUGUUUGAAAUUUAAAUCUUUUCCAGCUACCGAAGUAAUUAAAUACGCGAUCAAAGAAAUUGCUUGCAACCAGUAGUGUGUAGAUAACCAUUAUGAGAGGAUAUAUUUCAUUGAACCGUUGUCCAAAGACCGGAACAGCGUCAUCGAUUCUACCCAUUUUCUGCAGAACCAAAUGAAAACCAAACGCAGUUAUAGCGCCGGCUCCUUUAGACUUCUAAGACCAGGAAAUGCACAAAGGGAGAUUUAUAAGUAUUACCUUCUCAAAUAUAGUUUCGGAACGAAGUUGAAUGAGAUUAAUGAAAUUGUAAGAUAUUGGCGGCGCAUAUCGAGCAAUCAUCCUACAGAGAUACAUACAAAACAUUUAUAUAAGCAUCUACCUUAUUUUUCUUUCAUAAAUAGGAGAAGAAAAGUUAUCACUUACGAGCAAAUCAUUAGUAGAUUAACAGAACUUGUUUGUCGAGGGGUCAAGGAAUAAAUCAUCAGCAUCCCGAUUUUGAAGAGUGAAUAAUAUGUACAGAUACACAUAUACACUAAAGGUACAAAAGCAAAUGCCUGAAACCAAAAUGAUCAGGAUUUAAGUGCAAAGAAGCAAGAGAGAUUUAACCUACAAUGUAGAGUACCAACGUACCUGCACUAGCAGUUCAUCGGAUUUGACAAACCUAAUAAGGAUUGAGAAGAGAGAUAAGUCCAGUUUACUAAGAAGGAGAGUUGCCUCAGCUAAAAGAAUUGCAGCUGACAUAAUCCCCGUAACUAUUGCUAACAUCAUUUGUAUCUGUUUCUUCAGCAGACACCUCCAUAUAAAUUCUGGCAAAAGCAACAAUUAGCAAAAGUAUUGUCAUGCAUUUUAACCAAUCAAAUCCCAAUUUAAAAAAAAAAAAAACAAUGAAAUCCUAAUUUAGGAAAAAAACAAUCAAUCCAAUUAGCAACCCCUCUCGAGGAUGUUUUCAUACUGUAUUCUUUCCGAAGUGGGUAUCUUUAUGAACUUUCAUAUUUAAGCAACGCGUUUAUCAGGUUCAGAGAUCAAAUGACUUAAUGAGUACAGAAUGUGUAAAGGAGCUUACCCAAUGUAUCAAGAAGAUUCCUCCAUUUUCCGUUUCGACUGGUUCUGAAGCUCGAAAUAUAUUUCCUGAAAAUUGGUGCAUGAAAGCUGUUUAAGGUAGAGAUAAACGACAAAGAGAUUUACAUAUUGUAUGAGAGAUGAAACGGCACCCACCAUCCAGUUGAAUCACGCCGUUCAUAGUUCUUCAUUGUGUCUUCAAGAACAAGGGCCUCUGUAACAUACGUCAGAUACUCGCUGCAAACAACCAUAGUGACACAUAAGUACAAAUUUCUAAAUAAUGCAGCAGUUACAAAGUCUAUAAAACUGAACGAGAAUUCUAAAUAAUGCCAUUAGAAAGCUCUCCAUACCUUUUAUAUCUAUAAUAUUCCUCUUUAGCAUUUCGAAGGUGCCGCCUUAAUGUUGCCAUUGAUUUCUCAUCUGCAUCAUAGUCCAUAUCGUUUUCACCCAGUUGACCACCUUGAGGCUUAAAUGAUGGGUCUUCCCUAAACUGGUAUAUAGAAUCAUCAUUAAAACACCACUGUGUGUUCAUAAUAUAAGGAUAGGGGGGAAGUUACCAUCUUAGCCAGCAUAGCAUCGAUCACAUUCAUGUAUGGUCUCAUAGGAUCACGCUUGGACAUCUGAGUAGAAGUCGCUUGAGCAACCUAACAAGGCAUUGGUUAUGACGUGAUUAAAAUUCUGACACGCAAACAGUCACGGUUUCUUAAGGGGGCAAAGCGUACACUUAUUUGGAUUGCUAAAACCUUAAGGUACUAACUACGUGAAGAGAUCUAAGGUGACAUACAAAAUGAGAGAGUCAUGAUCUUAGGUGACAUACAUAAUCAACUCUGAAGCACAGAGGGCAAUAUCUGAGAAAGGAGAAAACAAAGUUGCUUAGCCCAAAUAAUACUUACUACAAUCGCGUUUGAAAGUUCUUGAUGGGCAUUAUCAAGUUUCACAGCAAUUUUGGCAAUCUUGUGAGAGAGAACUUUUUGGCGGGUGGUCCAGUCUGCAUUCCUCCACAGCGUCUUAGGGAUUUCGCUCAAGCCAAAGCCAAGAAGAAAUGCACCAGUGACCAGCCCAAAGGUAUUUGAGCAUGCCAUAGCAUAACCAAGAAUGCUCCCUUUCCUGUCAACAUACAAGAAAGCCACGUCACAUACUUCCAUGAACUAAUGGAACUGCCAUAUACUGCUAAAUAAUGAGCGACUAAGCAGCAACACUGAGCAUUUUCUAAGAGAAUAGCUGAUGAAAGUCUGGAGAGAUACGAAAGCCAAUAUAUAAACAGAAUCGAUCAUAGAUUACCAGUUCCUGUGCAUCAUGAUGAGAAGGAUAAGACCAAGAAGACCAACGAAUCCGAGAACAAGAUAGAAAACUAAGUUGACAUGCACGCUAGUCUUCAGUCUCUCUGAGACGGUAAAGUCCCCAGCAUCUUCGAAACCCUGAAUAAGGGGCACCACAGCCCUGCUUAGAGAAAGCAUAGUUUAAUAUAUGAGGUAGAUAAAUGAUACACCCUAGUAGCUAAAAAAACAAUGACGAUGGAUUGUUAGGGGUGCACUUGAAAUACUACCAACCAGGCCAGAUCUACAUGAAAGGCAAACUUCCAUUGGUUUAGACGUAAAGAUAAACUUAUUUGAUCACAAACGGGACAAAUGCUGUCAUGCUGAAAGAUGGAUUUGAUCAAAGGGAGGGCACAUUAUACUGAUUUGAGCAAAGUGUAAGAAGAGUAAAGGCACAGAAGGAAAUUGAGGAGUUAAUACCAGGUGAGAAGGAAGGUACUCCAGUAUGACCAACUCCACAAGAAGGAAAUGGCACCAUUCUCAGGAUGAUUAGGUGGCAGAGACAGUGUCUGCAAAAUAACAAAACGAUUCCUUAUUCUGAUAGUUCACCUGAGCGAGUCUUUCAGAUAAAUAAGCCUACAUUCUUCAGCUAAAUCUCAAACCUAUCGUAACCUCUUAUCGAUUUAAAUUCCAAAUCAAACAAGACGAUCGUAAUCGGAGUGAAAAGGAGAUAAGCAACUCGAAAGCAAAUGGUUACCGUCCAGAUAUCGGCCGGAGCGAGGAUGAUGACGGAGACGGAGCAGAACCAGGUGUAUCCGACGGUGAUUAGAACGUACCGAGGAAUCUCAGGUCCGGCGAAGUAACGGAGCGUGAAUACAACUAAUCCUAGGGUUAGAGGCAACGAGAUCAAGUAGAAUACCCACAUCUCUCUCUCUACGAUCGAUUAUCAGCGAGAGAUCGCCCGACUCGUUUCUGUGUGUGGACAUACGCGUGAGAGUUACGCGCCGUUGAGGAGAAGCUCGUCCUUUUUUCGUUUUCAGUUUUCUACUUUUCUUUUCUUUAGUGGUUCGGUUCGGUUCGGUUCGGUUCAGUUCGGUUCGUAGAAAACCCUGUACUGUUUGAUUGAUUUAAUCGAAGGUAAUUAACUUCAACAAAAGUUAGGCCCAUAGGAAGGAACUGGGGUAACCUAGGCAAACAUUAUGGACCGUUUAGUAACCUUUUCUUAAAAUUUCUUACUUGUGUUGUAGCUUCAUGUACGCUUCUUGGGAAAUUUGGUUCUCUUUUGAAAUUUAUGUGGCUAACACAUAGGUUGUGAGCUUGAGAGGAUUGCCGCUCACAAUCUAUGUGCGUACACAAUCACAUAGAUUUGAAAUUAUUGAUAAUCUCUUUAACCGUGUGUCUUGGAUAAAGAUGAUGAUGAUAUGAGGUAUAGUAAAUAUUUCAAGACGAUUGGCAAAACUUUGUAUGUAUGAUAAAACUGUGAAAACGAAGUUUGAUUACAAGACUCAAAUGCUGUUUCUGAGGGAGCUUUUGCCUGGCUUUCAGUCUGUCAAGUUCUGCAGUGAAACCCCAUCACAUUGCCAUAUAAAAGCAGCAUGUAUAUAAUAUAGAGAUUUUCUAAAAGUAAUUUAAUACAGUUUUGUUAAAUCAAGUAGAAUAAUAAUAAUAAGAUGAUGUGAGUGGAUUUCAGUUUAAUCAAGUUCUUCGUAGUGAACUGGAUCAGCUGAUACAACUAAGGACUUGCAAAUGAUCCAUAAAUAUAGCUUUGGUUAAUACAUCAAUGGCACCAAAGUGUAAAUAUAUUGAAAAAUUAAAGGUAAUCUAAUUUCGUACUCUUAUUUUAAUAGAGUUGAUAAAGGUAAAAUAAAUACAAAUUUAACUUAUAUAUAUUAUUUAAUAACUUUUAUUUACAAGAAAAAUAUAUUUUUUUUUUUACCAUAGACUACACAUUUUACUUUGACAAAAUAAUAAAAAUCAUCAACAACUUAAAAAAAAUAAAAGUAUCAGUACAUGAGCCAGAACUACAUCUUUUGUUUACAGCUCAGCUCAGAAGAUAACAAUAGAAGAAACACAACUAAGAACAAUUUUCGACACCAACCGAACUGUUUUUGUAUUCUAAACUCAGUUUUAGUAAUUUGGCAAAUUAAUAGAAAGAAUUUUAUUACAAAAAUGUUUAAAACUAUAUAAAACAUUCAAUCAGGAAAAAGUAUAGCAUUUUUCAAUAUGAUAAUUCUGCAAUAUAUUAUAUUCACGUAACAAAACUAAUUGUAAUAUUGUUAAAUUAACUAACCGCGCAUAGUGCGGAAAACGACCGGUAAGCAUAUGAAACCCACAACACAAAAAAAUGGGCCACUAUUCAACUCUAAAUGUUUAGUUAUGAGUUUUGGUAACAUUUCAUGUUAGCAUUUCAUUUACAUCAGUGACUUGUAAUUUUUCUCUACACUAUGCCUUCUCUAACUCGACUUUCACCAAUCUCUUUAAUCAAUUUUCAUCGUUAGUCAACUUAUUCAUCAUCAUCAUCGAGGUAACGUCCGUGUUCUACUGACCGGUUUUUCAGUCUCUGGAAUAUCUCAUCUAAUGACUGCGGCAUUGAUGGAUUCAUCACUCUUGUGCUGGUUACUGUUGUUGUUGAUUCUGGACCUUGCCUUAGUGGAAGAAACUUCUUGG